UACGUAGGGUGCAAGCGUUGUCCGGAUUUAUUGGGCGUAAAGAGCGUGUAGGCGGCCAGGUAGGUCCGUUGUGAAAACUCGAGGCUCAACCUCGAGACGUCGGCGGAAACCCUCUGGCUAGAGUCCGGAAGAGGAGAGUGGAAUUCCUGGUGUAGCGGUGAAAUGCGCAGAUAUCAGGAGGAACACCAAUGGCGAAGGCAGCUCGCUGGGACGGUACUGACGCUAAGGCGCGAAAGCGUGGGGAGCAAACAGG
RNAcentral lists this ribosomal RNA (253 nucleotides) under uncultured bacterium. RNAcentral's name for it is "partial 16S ribosomal RNA". It matches the Rfam family "Bacterial small subunit ribosomal RNA", at positions 524 to 776 of the family's 1533-position model. The record is from RNAcentral.